GACGAACGCUGGCGGCGUGCUUAACACAUGCAAGUCGUACGGUAAGGCCCUUUCGGGGGUACACGAGUGGCGAACGGGUGAGUAACACGUGAGUAACCUGCCCACAACUUUGGGAUAACGCUAGGAAACUGGUGCUAAUACUGGAUAUGUGCUCCUGCUGCAUGGUGGGGGUUGGAAAGCUCCGGCGGUUGUGGAUGGACUCGCGGCCUAUCAGCUUGUUGGUGGGGUAGUGGCCUACCAAGGCGGCGACGGGUAGCCGGCCUGAGAGGGUGACCGGCCACCCCGGCACUGAGAGGGGGGCCAGGGGGCGACGGGAGGCAGGAGUAGGGAAUGUGCCGCAAUGGGCGAAAGGCGGACGGGGCAACGCCGCGUGAGUGAUGAAGGCAUGCGGAUCGUAAAACUCUGUUAGUAGGGAAGAACAAAUGGGGAAGGAACUAUGCACGUCUUGACGGUACCGAAUCAGAAGGCCACGGCUAACUACGUG
This 484-nucleotide ribosomal RNA is filed under the name uncultured bacterium. RNAcentral's name for it is "partial 16S ribosomal RNA". It matches the Rfam family "Bacterial small subunit ribosomal RNA", at positions 28 to 507 of the family's 1533-position model. The record is from RNAcentral.